Molecule: long non-coding RNA, 296 nt
Filed under: Linum usitatissimum (flax)
Lineage: Eukaryota; Viridiplantae; Streptophyta; Magnoliopsida; Malpighiales; Linaceae
Description: long non-coding RNA (LUSI_LNC003791)
Source: RNAcentral
UUUGAGGGAAUCAGAGGCCGUCUUAAGCUCAAUCUCGAGCUCCAUCAUCGUUGAAGCCUUACUAUUCCGAAUCACGGCGGCAAGACCUCGGAUGGCAGCUACAGCCUCGGCCAAGUCAGGCUGCCUGGGGCAAUUUAAAAACCAUCAGGCUGCUUGCGCCAAUUAUUGAACUCGUCUAUGACGCUGAACGGCUUGUCAAUAGGAGGGCCCUGAGGUUUAUCGUCGUCUCCGUCGGGGGCGUCGGGAUGGGUGCCGACGGCGGCCUGGGCCUGGGCGAGCCAGUCGCUGGAGAUGAC